UACGUAGGGUGCAAGCGUUGUCCGGAAUUAUUGGGCGUAAAGAGCUCGUAGGCGGUUUGUCGCGUCUGCUGUGAAAACCUCAGGCUCAACCUGGGGCUUGCAGUGGGUACGGGCAGACUAGAGUGCGGUAGGGGUGACUGGAAUUCCUGGUGUAGCGGUGGAAUGCGCAGAUAUCAGGAGGAACACCGAUGGCGAAGGCAGGUCACUGGGCCGCAACUGACGCUGAGGAGCGAAAGCUAGGGGAGCAAACGGG
Molecule: ribosomal RNA, 253 nt
Filed under: uncultured bacterium
Lineage: Bacteria
Description: partial 16S ribosomal RNA
Rfam family: Bacterial small subunit ribosomal RNA
Source: RNAcentral